AAAGGUUUUGUGACUGCAAAUGAACUAAAUUGAAGGACAGAUGCAAACAGAAAUGUGAAAACAAAAAUGCAAACGGAAUCAAAUACAAAAUGAAAAUGGUUUCAGAGACAUAAUGGAAACAUUUGGUCAUUAACUUAAUUACAAUGCUUCCAAUCCCAGAUUAAAGACAAGUACACGCUACUCUAAUCCAAAUCCGACAUGAAUCACCCAACUAAGCGAAGGCUAAUUCGGUCUUCAAAAUUGCAGACUAAGCGAAUGCAAUGCACAAAUUUAAUUAGUCAUCCACCACACAGUCUAAUCAACUAAGCGAAGAAUUGACACCGAUUAGGCAAUGCGUAUACCUAAUCGCAGGCAGACAAUAGAUUAAAUAUUGAGUAGAAUCAGAGUAGCAGUUUGGAAAUUAAAGUGCAAGAAUCUCAUGGAAACAAAGUAAUUUUGUUAACAACCAACCAACUAACCUAAGCGAACAUCAAAGAUAAAUUAUCAAAAUCGAACAAAGUAAACAUCAUUAAAGUGGGGAUCAAAAUUAAAUAAAAACAACAAAAAGUAAGUAACUAAAGAAAAUAACCUAGCGACAUUUAAAAAUCCCCACAUUCUAUCUAAUGCAAAAUAGGCUUAGAAACAUAAACAAGGUGAAUAAAUAAAAGAAAGGAAAAAAAAGAAAAAAUAAAUAAAACUAGCCUACGGUGAUAAAUCAAGGGAAAUCAAAUUUUGAAUCUCGACAUGCAUAAUCAUAUUAAAUGCAAAUUUAUAAAUGCAUAUAACAUAUAACAUCAUAAAAAUUCAA
RNAcentral lists this long non-coding RNA (787 nucleotides) under Vigna radiata. Its description in RNAcentral is "long non-coding RNA (VRAD_LNC017161)". Lineage: Eukaryota; Viridiplantae; Streptophyta; Magnoliopsida; Fabales; Fabaceae. The record is from RNAcentral.